This is a long non-coding RNA of Macrobrachium nipponense, 616 nucleotides long. RefSeq lists it as uncharacterized. The record is from RefSeq and is a predicted model, not a curated record. NCBI's taxonomy places the organism in Eukaryota, Metazoa, Arthropoda, Malacostraca, Decapoda, Palaemonidae. The transcript has 3 exons.
GAUGGGUGACGUCGAGCUGGAUGAGCUGGCGAGGAAGGUCACCGGCGCCAAGAAUUACGAGGACUUCGAGAAGCAGACCUUCUGCCCGGACUCUGUCGCCGAGUGCCACAACCUCGGCGGAGUUUGCUUGACUCCCAGUAUCGCGAGAACGUACGAACCUUUCAGUUCUGCUCGUCCACCAAGUAUAUCUCCAAUGCUGAAUCCUCGACGUGUUAUUGCUGCAUAAGUACAGGGAAAGAAUGCCAAACCACCAAAGGUUGCAGCGAGAGUGAAGGGAGAUGCGACCGCAAAUGCGCCAUUUGGGAGCGUUCCUACAACAACAUGUGCGCUCACCACAAGUGCCAGUGUUGCUUGGCUUCUUGCAAGACGUCUGACGCCUGCAAGGCCUAUGGAGGCCAUUGCAUAGACGAAAGAGAGGACUGCCAUGGCCAAGUGACCUCAGGGUGUAAGGGUUCCAAAUGCAAAUGCUGUGUUCCCCCAACUCCGUCACCGCCACCUGAGUGUCACGACAUGCCGAAAUGCACAGCGAAAGGAGGCUACUGUUCCCAAGAGCAUGAGUGCCACAAUGGAUAUUUCGAAGAUAAUCACUGCGGCUCAUAUUGUGGCUGCUGCAUAC